AGAGUUUGAUCAUGGCUCAGAGCGAACGCUGGCGGCAGGCCUAACACAUGCAAGUCGAACGAACUCUUCGGAGUUAGUGGCGGACGGGUGAGUAACACGUGGGAACGUGCCUUUAGGUUCGGAAUAACUCAGGGAAACUUGUGCUAAUACCGAAUGUGCCCUUCGGGGGAAAGAUUUAUCGCCUUUAGAGCGGCCCGCGUCUGAUUAGCUAGUUGGUGAGGUAAAGGCUCACCAAGGCGACGAUCAGUAGCUGGUCUGAGAGGAUGAUCAGCCACAUUGGGACUGAGACACGGCCCAAACUCCUACGGGAGGCAGCAGUGGGGAAUCUUGCGCAAUGGGCGAAAGCCUGACGCAGCCAUGCCGCGUGAAUGAUGAAGGUCUUAGGAUUGUAAAAUUCUUUCACCGGGGACGAUAAUGACGGUACCCGGAGAAGAAGCCCCGGCUAACUUCGUG
This 453-nucleotide ribosomal RNA is filed under the name uncultured bacterium. RNAcentral describes it as "bacterial SSU rRNA". It matches the Rfam family "Bacterial small subunit ribosomal RNA", at positions 8 to 507 of the family's 1533-position model. The record is from RNAcentral.